GGGGGCGUCCGGUCUCGACGGGGCAGGCGGUUUUCGGGAUAGCGAGCCGAAGGCGUGAGCGUUACAGCGCAAGGCAUACAAACGCCAAUAACAACCGACAGCUCGCUCUCGCUGCGUAAGCAGCGCUGAGUCGAGUCCCGGGACUUUGAUCCCGGGCGUCGUCCUCGAAGGUGCCGACCCUCCGAGAUAGCGGCGUCACAUCAGCCGGCUAGCCGGUUCGAGGGCGCCUCGGCCUCGAACCGGGACACUCACCGGGGCUGGCCAAGAGGGAUCCCGUCGGGAGGAGCCCAGCGGCGAGAGCAAAUUCCCGGACACGCUCGUAGAGGUCCCGAGGGACGCUGCUUCGGACGCGGGUUCAACUCCCGCCGCCUCCACCA
This 377-nucleotide transfer-messenger RNA is filed under the name Candidatus Dormiibacterota bacterium. It matches the Rfam family "transfer-messenger RNA". From Rfam's summary of the family: Bacterial tmRNA, also known as 10Sa RNA or SsrA, is named for its dual tRNA and mRNA-like properties. Its role is to liberate the mRNA from a stalled ribosome. The record is from RNAcentral. Lineage: Bacteria; Bacillati; Candidatus Dormiibacterota.